RNAcentral lists this long non-coding RNA (457 nucleotides) under Vitis vinifera (wine grape). Its description in RNAcentral is "long non-coding RNA (VVIN_LNC002791)". The record is from RNAcentral. Lineage: Eukaryota; Viridiplantae; Streptophyta; Magnoliopsida; Vitales; Vitaceae.
AGCUCCGGCUCCGAUUGGAAGUACACGAGCAUGGUGGUAGCCCCACCCAUGGACUCGCCGAAGAGGAAAGCAGGGAGGUCGCGGUAGGAUUCGCUGGUGCGGACGCUCUUGAAGAAGGAAAGGGAGGUGGCGGCGACCUUCUCCAUGUCGCCGAGGUAGCAGCGGAUGCCGUCGGAGCGGCCGUGGCCGAGGAUGUCGGCGGCGAAGACUGCGUAGCCCCAGGUGGCGUAGUUAAUGCAAAUCUUCUGGAAGAGCCAGCCGGUGUCGGAGCCGUAGCCGUGGGUCAUGUAGACGGAAGCCUUGACAGGGAGAUCCAAGGGUAGGAAACUCUGGGUGAAGAGCUUGCCGUUGGGGGUGUCGAAGUAUGAUUUGGUGUUGCGCACCCCUUGGGAGGCAUAGUACUCCUCCUCCGGCAUAUCGCCCCAGAAGUUGGCCGAAAUUUCGGAUUCCGACGACA